RNAcentral lists this long non-coding RNA (1933 nucleotides) under Hordeum vulgare. RNAcentral's name for it is "long non-coding RNA (HVUL_LNC020065)". The record is from RNAcentral. Lineage: Eukaryota; Viridiplantae; Streptophyta; Magnoliopsida; Poales; Poaceae.
CCAAGGAAAAUUGGAUUAGGGUCCGGCUCAAUAGUUACCCCACCUAUCCCACACCAUUUGCGUGGAACAGAGAUCUUGUUAAGAACUAGACAAUACCCCACAUGUUAUCGUAGAAUUAAACAUUUGAUUUCUAAAUAGAUAUUAACUAUGUGAAACUUUAUGGAGAAACACAAACAAAAAUAUUCUGUCAUAAUUUUUUUAACACAUAUCACAAUCAAAUAUGUUGGGAUUUAAAAUCCGUUUACAAUACACUAAUGCAUGUUGCAUGGUAGAUAGACACUCAUGCCUAGGUUUCACGUGUGUUAGUGGACGAAGAUAACAAAUCCAUGACUACAAUAUUUUUUGUUUGGAAUCAAUAAAAUCUAUUUUUUAUCUGAAAAGAAUACAAUCCAGGCAAGAAAAUUGUGUUUGGAUCUUCACUUCUUCAGUGUAACUGCUUGCCUGCAGACGCGGCUACGCGUUAUUCAUCUCAAGACGGCCUACAACAAAUAAGUAUGUAGUAGCACGACGAGAUGAAUCAUGAAUGGGUUGAGCUCAAGGACACACAAACCUAGCUGCUUGCUUCAUGCUAAACGGACUUUAGGCAUGCAACGUUCAUGAAUGGCCAUUUACAUAAAGCAUAAUAAAAGCGUGAACAACUCAUUUGUUGGGCCUAUAACUUGAGUUGGUGUCCCGUCUCAGUCCAUAAAUAAGCUUCGCUCAUGUAGUCAUAUAGGAAAUCACAUGUUUUAUUCGUGUCAUCUAUGACUUGGGAUUUCCCACAAAAAAGCCGAUACAAGUUAGGAUAUUAGAGGAAAACUGAUAUGUUACACCCCCGCCACUCAUACAACUGUGAAUCUACGACUCUUCCAUUGGGUUUAUUGUUGCCAGGGAUGUGUCUUUGUCACCGCCUAGGCCGGCCCAGGAACCGACAAAAAUGGGGUUCAUUCUGCUCAUGGUAAACUCAUCAUCGUUGAUGAAGUGUGGCAUGGGGCCAUAGGAGAACUUGCCAUCGUCGAGCCAAGAAAUCAAUGAUAACACACCCUUUUUGUGCACAAUAGUGGCAGACGCUCCCUUGAUUAAGCUAAUAAUGUCGGAAGCAAAAGGAGGCUCCUGAAGCGAGGUAUACAUGGUACUAGUGGCAGGGGCGCGCCCUUGGCGCGCCUCUUGAGCGUUCAUGUGCGUGUUUGUAUACUUAUAUUUAGGAACGGAGAGUGUACGAGAUAUUUAGCGAUAACAUAGAAUUCUGAAUUUGUAUGCUUCUUGUUCGUACAAAGAAUUGUUAAUUAUGUUUGUAUAUUGUGUGGCAUUAAGAACAUAUUUUCUUUUAGUAUAUGUAACUAACAUAGUCUUAUUAGUUUUAAAGGUCAAUGUGAAGAUAUGAAAAAAAGUAAUGCUUAGUAUUAUAUUUGUAGAAGCGAUUAAAUUGAAUGAAGAGGUAUUAUUAGUAGAAGUGCGGACAUAUUUGUAUUAAACAUGCAAAGGAAACAUACUUGGUCUUAUUAAUACAAAUAGCAAAGAAAGUGCUUCGGGCAGUGAACACUUAUAAGACGUCUAAUCGGAUGUUGCCCAUUCAUGGUGGCAAAUGCAACAAUACGAAGUAGAGUCUGCUCCAUUGCGUCAUCGGUGCGGUGUGCUGUCAUCGGAUUGGCAAAAUAAGUCAUACGUUGAUGUGGAAAAACUAUAGGCGAGCUUCAUGAUGGCUUCAGUUGACGGUUCCUGCUUGGUUGUGUGAAUGCAUAAAUGUAUUAGUAAAUUAUAGUUCUGGUAGAUAUUAUACUUAUCAAAAAAAUUGAAGUAAGAAAAGUUUUUUUGUAUGCCAUACCUUAUAUAUAGGGUGGUUAUAAUGCCCUGGUGCCUACAGAGCUAGUAGGUCAUUGAUGUUUGCUGCAGUUCGCUGCACAUCAAUCAGUAUGCUUGCUGUCCUGACGGUCACAUCUGGAUCUUUGUGAAG